GAUGAAGAACGUAGUGAAAUGCGAUAAGUAAUGUGAAUUGCAGAAUUCAGUGAAUCAUCGAAUCUUUGAACGCACCUUGCGCCCUUUGGACUUCUGAAGGGCAUGCCUGUUUGAGUAUCAUGAACACCUCAACUCCUUAUGGUCUUCCAUGAUGAGCUUGGACUUUGGGGGUUUUGCUGGCCUACAGUCAGCUCCUCUAAAAUAAAUUAGCUUACCGGUGUUUGGUGGGUAUCAUGGGUGUGAUAACUAUCUACGCUCGUGGUUUUCCACCAGGUAACCUUCAGCAGUGGAGGUUCACUGGAGCUCAUAGAUGUCUCUCCUCAGCGAGGACAGCCCUUUGAAUGUUUGAUCUCAAAUCAGGUAGGACUACCCGCUGAACUUAAGCAUAUCAAUAAGCGGAGGA
Molecule: unclassified non-coding RNA, 403 nt
Filed under: soil metagenome
Description: partial contains 5.8S ribosomal RNA, internal transcribed spacer 2, and large subunit ribosomal RNA
Rfam family: 5.8S ribosomal RNA (bases 1-120)
Source: RNAcentral